GCCUGGGUGGCUCAGUCGGUUGAGCGUCUGACUUCGGCUCAGGUCAUGAUCUCACGGUCUGUGGGUUCGAGCCCCGCGUCGGGCU
Molecule: transfer RNA, 85 nt
Organism: Felis catus (domestic cat)
Lineage: Eukaryota; Metazoa; Chordata; Mammalia; Carnivora; Felidae
Rfam family: tRNA
About the family: Transfer RNA (tRNA) molecules are approximately 80 nucleotides in length. Their secondary structure includes four short double-helical elements and three loops (D, anti-codon, and T loops).
Source: Rfam